This 472-nucleotide ribosomal RNA is filed under the name uncultured bacterium. RNAcentral's name for it is "bacterial SSU rRNA". It matches the Rfam family "Bacterial small subunit ribosomal RNA", at positions 50 to 504 of the family's 1533-position model. The record is from RNAcentral.
UAUACAUGCAAGUCGAACGCGCAGCGAAAGGUGCUUGCACCUUUCAAGCGAGUGGCGAACGGGUGAGUAACACGUGGAUAACCUGCCUCAAGGCUGGGGAUAACAUUUGGAAACAGAUGCUAAUACCGAAUAAAACUUAGUAUCGCAUGAUACAAAGUUGAAAGGCGCUACGGCGUCACCUAGAGAUGGGUCCGCGGUGCAUUAGUUAGUUGGUGGGGUAAAGGCCUACCAAGACAAUGAUGCAUAGCCGAGUUGAGAGACUGAUCGGCCACAUUGGGACUGAGACACGGCCCAAACUCCUACGGGAGGCUGCAGUAGGGAAUCUUCCACAAUGGGCGAAAGCCUGAUGGAGCAACGCCGCGUGUGUGAUGAAGGCUUUAGGGUCGUAAAGCACUGUUGUAUGGGAAGAAAUGCUAGAAUAGGGAAUGAUUCUAGUUCGACGGUACCAUACCAGAAAGGGACGGCUAAAUAC